UACUACAUAUAUAAUAAAUUAUAUAUUAUUGAAUUCUAAAAUCAACACAUUUUUCUGUCAAAAUAGU
Molecule: transfer RNA, 67 nt
Filed under: Jamides bochus
Lineage: Eukaryota; Metazoa; Arthropoda; Insecta; Lepidoptera; Lycaenidae
Description: tRNA-Leu
Source: RNAcentral